Long non-coding RNA from Diachasmimorpha longicaudata, 5588 nucleotides. RefSeq lists it as uncharacterized. The transcript has 6 exons. NCBI's taxonomy places the organism in Eukaryota, Metazoa, Arthropoda, Insecta, Hymenoptera, Braconidae. The record is from RefSeq and is a predicted model, not a curated record.
GUUUGCAAAACAGCCCAAACACAUUCGCCGCUGAACGCUUUAGAUCUAUUUGAUCUGUUUACCGUGAAUAAUCGAUCGGGGGGGAUCUUAUUACUCUUCCAUGUUCUUGUCAUCGAGAAUCCAAUACUCGAAUUAGAUACAAAAUAUCCUUAAUGGUAUUCUUCCAACGUCCGUUGUGAGGACAAGUUAUUCAUCGUCCAUCGUAGGCAUAACGACUCAUCGUCCUUUGGGGAUUCAAUGUAUUCAUCAUCGCCCUUCUCCAAUAUCGCCAAUAAUAAAUCGAUAUUCAACGCGGGGAGUGCUUCACCAUCUGCACCGCUAAACCCUUCGAGGGUAAAUUCAGCGUGAGGUGGAAAGAGAGACGAAUGAGAUGAAGCCUGUGCAAACACCCGAAAGACCAAGUGCAAGAGAGAGGAGAGGAGAAUAGAAGUGAGGCAGUCUGAGCUCGAGGUGGUGCCAACACCGGUGAAACUAGAGGAAAUGGAUAAAACGACAUCAGUUGAGAAGUAACAAAAAAAUAAAAUAAAAUAAAGGAGAAGGAACUCCUGUCGACUUUGGGGUGACAAACCGUGAAUCCCGAGUGCUACAGAAUUUUUCUUCUACACUUACGCCCAGUUAUGAGCUUUUGGGAGCCGUAAAUCAUAUUUUGUCGGGACGAUAGAAUGACAUAUAUCCUUCUUUGAGAAAAUAGCUCACUGCCGACACAAGACAUCACUAAAUUUCCUGAAGAUACAGCCUCGGGUAUAUAAGCGUGUUGCAGACGAGUGAGAGCCUGAGGGUUCUUCGGCUGAUGGAAACUGGAUACAUCUUGCAAAUUUGCUAGCAGCUUAAGAUCUACGCCUCGGACUUUAUGAGGAAUAUUGGAGUCCUGCUGUGCUGUAUCAACUGAGGGACAACUACACCUCUUGACCUUGCAGGACAACUACUCUUCCCCCUCAUCCAGCCAACAGACAUCUUGAAGUGUGCUGAGAACCUUUAAAUUGAUAGUCAAGCUACAUCACCAGGUGAAACAUGUAACUUGGCUAUGAUUUGAGUAGUUGACCUUUAACCACAAGCACGCAUACACUCAAUAGGGUAAAAGUACUCGUAUCAAUCGUCAACACUAGUAUCCAAAGAAUUCGUCCAGAGUCCGAUGUACACAGGUCUGGGACGCCUCUGAGGCCGGAAUAUGUACCAGAGCCAGUUUCGGAGCCAGGGAAUAGGGGAUAGGGGAUCGAAAAUCUUGGUCUCAGGUAGUUUGUAAAAUUCUACCUGGUCGGGUUUUAAACUCAGAACCUUUCGCAUGUGAGGCAACGCAUUUACUCAGCGCUUCAAGCCAUCGGACUAGUCUCUGUGUCAGUUGACUCCCAAUUUCUACACUAAUUUCUUCACCUUGACGACUCACUUUGCCACCUUCUUCAAACAAUGCCACGUGAUACAGCACAUAUUUACGCAUCGCUUAUAAUUUGAUUCUCGUAAAAAAGCCGAAAUCCUCGAUUUCUUCGUCUGACAUAACUGAGGCCGCGGCAGUGGUACGCACUGCUAGAAAAAAUUAGUUUUGUUCAAAGACAAAACUAAUUUUACUUCAAUCAACAAUCACGGGGUCGUUAAUUGCUCAGUAAACAUAAUUUUGUAACGAAUUUCACGCAUCGUUUCGUCAGAGAUAAAUUUGAUUGGGAGAAAUUAAAGUUUUUCACUUGAUUUAUUCGUUGAUUCUUUCGAAAAUCAAAAUUUUUCUUACGGUUAAAUAUAUUGGUAUCGAUACACAAUAUUGAUUGGUUUGUUUCGAAGAUUCUAAUUAUGUAAAUUCAGUGACGAAGAGGUAAAAGGAGAUAAGUCACUUCUGACUAUUUAGCAGUUUUUCAUUAAUAUCUCGAGAUCUAGGGGAGACACCAAGAUUUUCAUUAGAACCUUUUUUAUAGAAUGAAUUAAGGGUUACAAUAAAGGUCAUGAUGAAAAUACCACUAUCUCUCUUAGAUUCGGAGAUAUCCCUCGCACUCGAGUCCACGAUAAAUCAACUGCUCUCCUACCUGUUACAAUUUAAUUAAUCAUUUAGUUAAUGUAUAUGGGUCUCCUUUUGAGGGACAGACAUCGUGAAAAAUAUUUUUUUCAAUCAGUGUAAGCAUGAAUAUUUAAUGGAAAAAUCUGCUGCCAAUACCAGCUGAAUGAGUGAUCAAAAUUGUGAUUGCAUGGGAGCCCACGUCGUUGGCAGUCCCUCCGGAAAGCACGCAAAAGGCUAUCAAGGGUGAAAUAUAAAACAUGGCCAUAUUCGAACCUUCCACUUCUUAUUCCACGAUCAUCGCUAUCCAACUUCCCUCUAGAUCAUAAACUUAAGAACACGUGGAAUACGUGGAAGGCGGAUCGUUAAGCCGAGACUUACGUAAAAACCACUUGCUCAUUAAUAUCUCAGUUCUGGAAAAAAAGAAAAAUCUGAUUCUAUUCUCAGUGCAUGAAAAAAAAAAUUAUUGUAAUAUUAUCCAUACUGAGGAAACAAUUGACUACCUUUCGAAUAGCAAUCAUUUCCUAUAUAGACACGACAAGUGAACCACAGUUGCUAAUAAGUAGUUGGACUGAUAUUACAAUUUGAUUAGAAGAUGUUUCAAUCACAAAUUAUUUACCUCCGGAUUCUAUAAAAAAUUUCCUGAUUGUCUUCGAUAAUUUAUAUCGACGAAAUCGAUGCCCUAUUGGCUGUCUCCCCAUUUAUUUUUGAGAGAAUGUUUUUAUUUUAAUUUACUGUUGGGUCAAAAACACUGAAUUUCAGCCUCGAAAAUUCUGGCAUUGGUCCAGACGCGUCGCAGGGAUGUGAUCAUUUUUUUAAAUAAUAAUUAGGGACAUUGGAUACUCUACUGUGGAAUAUACAAUGUCCUAACGUUGAUUUCACAUCCUGCAGGCGGUGGGAGAGAUUAUUUAGAGAGGAAAACUCCCGCGCAAGGAAAUGCGUGUCUCUGGCGCUUCGUUAAGAAGUUAUCCUUCAACAAAGCAAAAAUUCAUUGCGAGGAAUGAAAAUGAUGGCAAUCAAGUGGAGGUUUAAUGUACAAUGAUUUGAAAAACUUGUGAUUCUGUAUUUAUAUCGGGGUUAUAAAAAAUCAUAUCUUCACUAUCAUUCAAUAUCAAGACCUAAAAUUUAUGAGAAUCAAUUGAACAUACAUUACUACCAGCCCGUCUUACAUUAAUUGGGUGUUUUUCAGGAUAAUUUGUAAACAAAACGUCGGAGAUAAUAAUUUCAUUAUGAUUUUUAUGUUCGAAUUCCUCUAACCCCUCAGCCCCUGCACUAGUUACGCCGAUGGGACGCCAGAUCUAUUCUGGGGCACCCUAUGCGUUCAAUAAUUGCUAUCGUUUGAUGUUAAUUGAAACUCCAUCGGUGGCGUAGUUUAUUAAAUAAUUACAUUUUUCUAAAACUAGAAAAGAGCACGUAUGUAUAGUCCGUAAUGAGGCAUAAAUAAUUGGUUAAUUUGAUAGAAACACAGUACAGAAUAUCGUAAAGUAUUCUCAAAAGGCUUUGAUGAUCGAUGACCGAUAUCGAGAAAAAUUAAACCUGAGAACAUAUGGAUAAUAAAUUCUUUGAAUAAAAAUGUCAUCUGAAUCUGUAGAGGGAUAUCAGGACUAGAGAGAGGUAUUCGUUUCAACAAACAACACUAUCAUUAAAUUGUACAGCACUUUAUUGAUAUAGUAAUAUAUUUUUAAAUAGAAACGUCAAGGAACUGUUCGACCCUUUCUCGUCUCUUAAAAAACGUACAAUAAAGAUAAUAAAAUAAGCAUUUUUGAUUAAAAAAAAUUUCUUCGCUUUUUCCCUUUUUUUUCACUUUUUAUGUCCGCAACAAAUAUAUAUGUCUUCUUACAAACAAUGCCGCCGAGAGACUACUCAAUCGAGUACUUCCCAAUAAGUGACACAAGUAUCAGAAACUGAGAGCAAUCGACCUAGCGCACAUCGAAGUUUGGUCGAUCCCUAGAAUUUUUGUUUCGCAGCUUUCACCGCUACUCAUUCAUUAUUUUCACCUCGCGUCUCCUCUCGUCUGGAAACUUGAAAGACUCGACCGCUACAUAAUCCAAGUAUUAAUAACAAUAUUUUAAGUACAACUAAAAGAAAAUUCGGUUUGUUUGUUUCAUUUUUUGCAAUAGGAAAUUAAUUCAAAAAAAUAUCUCCGUAUGAAAUUGAAACCAAUGGCAGCCCUAAACUUCAUAUGAAACCUCAAAGAAUUUUCCCAUUAUUUUACGCAAGAAGCACUUAUUCCUCAUUGUUUUGUAUACAAGUUUAGAUUAAUUUUAGUUUGUAAAAAUUAUCUAUACGUUAGGCAUCGAAAAAUUUACAGCAGUAAUUGGAGGUAUGCUUGAUUACUCUUAAUUGUAUCAUUUGUUCCUUAUCUCAUCAUGGCUUGCAGAUGGAAUAAUGUUUUUCCAACCUUCGCCCAUAAAGUUAUAAUUAUUAUUAUUAUUUUUUAAUUUCACCAGUUAUACUGUGCAAUUGUGGUGAAAAUUUUUGUCAUUCUCAAUUGAUUUUUCUUCGUCUUCGCUUCAUCACUACUGCACAGCAAAAAUAUGAAACUUUCGUGAAGGUUUGAGGAAAACGAAUUAUCAAUAAUUAGCUAUUAAUCGAUUAUUGAUGGACUAUUAGUCACCAAUUACGACGUAAUGACUUAUUGAGCUUGAGUAGGCAUGUUGCACAGGUUUCUGAAUGUUACAUGACGAGGAAACAAAUUUUCAAAAUUAUAAAGACAUGACUGAACAGCAUUGAUAUCCAUUCAGUCUCCAAAUAUUAUCAUGCACUUCAAUUUGUGGUAAAUACAUGUGUAUAUUGUCCUGGGUAUCGUAGAGCAAUAGAUACAGUACAAUGGGUAGUACGAUUGCUCCAUCUCACGUGAGCCGUGAAUAAAAGUCACGUUCUUCUGUAUUUAAAGGGAGGAAUAAGUGUAAAAAAUGGGGACAAUAACAAACGAAAUGUUUACUUUUAAUUGGCAUUUUAUUUUCAGAGGCUUUAUAUGACUGAGCAUAAGAGGAACAAUCGCCCGUUCCGUUAAAGCGACUAAGUCUCUGGGGUAUUUUUUUUUUCGUUUUAACCGAAACGUCGAGAUAUCUUAAUGCAAGAACAACAAAUCAGCCCAGGUAUUGUCAGUUGUCAGUUAAAACGAAUGUUACAUUUUUUUUCAACAUUUUCUUUCUCCUUUUGCUGUAUUUUUCGGCUAUUUUUCUGUAACACUUUUUUUUCUUACAAAAAUAAGAGAUUCUGUACAUUGCGGGGAAAAUAUGGUGACGAUUUCAGAUCAAAGAGGGUGAGGAAUUGGAAAAAAAUGCUAUUUCUGGAUAUUUUGAACCCUCUGUGAUAAGGACUUCACGCCAUUUUCUUUUACAAUGUAGUUUGAUGUAUCGCAGCUUCAUUAUUUCGCAUUUUCAAUUUGCUUUGAAUUCCUAUAUUGUAUUCAAUUUUUAGGCCAAGCAUUGGCAAUACCAAUUCAUCGUAUGUAUUUUUACAUUCUUAUUGAUAGAUUUUUUUGCAUUAUCGUGUUGUAUUUUUUUUUCAUCUUUUUUAGUUCCGAAUGAAUUUUUUUUGUCUAACUAUAAUCAGGCCCGUUCCUCGGCUCUUACAAUGUAUAAAAAUAAAGGAUUAAAUAAAA